GAUGAACGCUGGCGGUGUGCCUAAUACAUGCAAGUCGAGCGGACAGACGAGGAGCUUACUCCUCUGCCGUUAGCACCGGACGGGUGCGUACCACGUGGAUAACCUACCUAUCAGACUGGGAUAACUUCGGGAAACCGGCGCUCAUACCGGAUAAAAUGUUGAACCGCAUGGUUCAACAUUGGAAUACGGUCUUGCUGUCACUUAUACAUGGAACCGCGUCGCAUUAGCUAGUUGGUAAGGUAACGGCUGACCAAGGCAACGAUGCGGAGCCGACCUGACAGCGUGCACGAGCACACUGGAACGGAGACACGGUCCAGACUCCUAUGGGAGGCAGCAGUAGGGACUCUGCCGCAAUGGACGAAAGACUGACGGAGCAACGCCGCGUGAGUGAAGAAGGUCUUCCGAUCGUAAAACGCUGUUAUUAGGGAAGAACAAAUGUGUAAGUAACUAUGAACGUCUUGACGGUACCUAAUCAGAAAGCCACGGCUAACUACGUG
This 497-nucleotide ribosomal RNA is filed under the name uncultured bacterium. RNAcentral's name for it is "partial 16S ribosomal RNA". It matches the Rfam family "Bacterial small subunit ribosomal RNA", at positions 28 to 507 of the family's 1533-position model. The record is from RNAcentral.